UGGAGUGGGGGGGCAGGAGGGGCUCAGGGAGAAAGUGCAUACAGCCCCUGGCCCUCUCUGCCCUUCCGUCCCCUG
This is a microRNA precursor of Homo sapiens (human), 75 nucleotides long. Ensembl annotates it as microRNA 328. Its record names the gene MIR328. The record is from Ensembl. NCBI's taxonomy places the organism in Eukaryota, Metazoa, Chordata, Mammalia, Primates, Hominidae.